AUCCACGCGGGAGGCUGAGGGGGGCUUCCCAUUGUGUAGAGAAGGGGAUGUUGCCAUGACAACCAACCCCCACUAAGGGGCAAGGACCAGCCUUUCCACCCCCUACGAGCCUCCCCACUUCGGGCAGCUCCAGUGUGGGCUCAGAAGAAUAAGAACCAUCCACCUCCCACCUCCUGAUCCCCCAGACUAAGCCACUUGGAGUUCCAGCCAGAC
RNAcentral lists this long non-coding RNA (213 nucleotides) under Homo sapiens (human). RNAcentral's name for it is "HSALNT0236776". Lineage: Eukaryota; Metazoa; Chordata; Mammalia; Primates; Hominidae. The record is from RNAcentral.